This 452-nucleotide unclassified non-coding RNA is filed under the name Hevea brasiliensis (rubber tree). The record is from RNAcentral. Lineage: Eukaryota; Viridiplantae; Streptophyta; Magnoliopsida; Malpighiales; Euphorbiaceae.
GCUGCAGAGAGUUGAAGGCAGAAGCAUGGGGACAACGGACUACGGGGCUUUGAAAAUGCCAGGUCAAUGAUCCCCUGAAGACGAUUAAGCACAUAAGUGUAUUUUCCCCACAACUCUGGUCGGCUUUCCAUGACUGACAAAUCAAGAAUCCGGUGAAUGCACCAAACCCCAAAGGUUAUUAUCAAAUCUGCCCUCCAAACACAGCCCUCUCCACAAUUAGGAACUGAUGAAACCAGAAUGUUGGUUAUACCAGCCUCAUCAUUCUUCAAUGCAGAAACAGACUUCCUAUCAGAAUAGGAAUACUGAGGCUCACCCAUGUGAACCAUGCGAUUUCUCUCUCUUGUUUCAACUUCAUACAAACACAUCUCUCUAGCAGCCACAUGAUCAAUUAAAUCUUCAUCAGCUCCAUCGUUUUGCCUAAAUAGCCAAUCAGACCCUUCCAAUUUCAAAAG